GGGUGCGAUAAUGCCAGCACUAAAUCACCGGAUCCCAUCCGAACUCCGAAGUUAAGCGUGAUUGGGCAAGAGUAGUAUUAGGAUGGGUCACCCCCUGGGAAGUCCUCGUGUUGCACUCC
Molecule: ribosomal RNA, 119 nt
Filed under: Musa acuminata subsp. malaccensis (wild Malaysian banana)
Lineage: Eukaryota; Viridiplantae; Streptophyta; Magnoliopsida; Zingiberales; Musaceae
Source: RNAcentral